This 660-nucleotide ribosomal RNA is filed under the name uncultured bacterium. Its description in RNAcentral is "bacterial SSU rRNA". It matches the Rfam family "Bacterial small subunit ribosomal RNA", at positions 94 to 788 of the family's 1533-position model. The record is from RNAcentral.
AGUGGCGGACGGGUGAGUAACGCGUGAGAAUCUGCCUUGGGGUCGGGGACAACCACUGGAAACGGUGGCUAAUACCGGAUAAGCCGAUUGGUGAAAGAUUUAUUGCCCGAAGAGGAGCUCGCGUCUGAUUAGCUAGUUGGUGAGGUAAGAGCUCACCAAGGCAGCGAUCAGUAGCUGGUCUGAGAGGACGAUCAGCCACACUGGGACUGAGACACGGCCCAGACUCCUACGGGAGGCAGCAGUGGGGAAUUUUCCGCAAUGGGCGAAAGCCUGACGGAGCAAGACCGCGUGAGGGAGGAAGGCUCUUGGGUUGUAAACCUCUUUUCUCAGGGAAGAAUCUCUGACGGUACCUGAGGAAUCAGCCUCGGCUAACUCCGUGCCAGCAGCCGCGGUAAUACGGAGGAGGCAAGCGUUAUCCGGAAUUAUUGGGCGUAAAGCGUCCGCAGGUGGCGAUUCAAGUCUGCUGUCAAAGCACAGGGCUUAACUCCGUAAAGGCAGUGGAAACUGAAUAGCUAGAGUGCCGUAGGGGUAGAGGGAAUUCCCGGUGUAGCGGUGAAAUGCGUAGAGAUCGGGAAGAACAUCGGUGGCGAAAGCGCUCUACUGGACGGCAACUGACACUCAGGGACGAAAGCUAGGGGAGCGAAUGGGAUUAGAUACCCC